Molecule: ribosomal RNA, 391 nt
Filed under: uncultured bacterium
Lineage: Bacteria
Description: bacterial SSU rRNA
Rfam family: Bacterial small subunit ribosomal RNA
Source: RNAcentral
AUUGAACGCUGGCGGCAUGCUUUACACAUGCAAGUCGAACGGUAACAGGCCUUCGGGUGCUGACGAGUGGCGAACGGGUGAGUAAUGCAUCGGAACAUACCCAGUCGUGGGGGAGUAACGUAGCGAAGUUACGCUAAUACCGCAUACGUCCUGAGGGAGGAAAGCGGGGGAGUCGCAAGACCUCGCGCGAUUGGAGUGGCCGAUGUCAGAUUAGCUAGUUGGUGGGGUAAAGGCCCACCAAGGCGACGAUCUGUAGCGGGUCCGAGAGGAUGAUCCGCCACACUGGGACUGAGACACGGCCCAGACUCCUACGGGAGGCAGCAGUGGGGGAAUUUUGGACAAUGGGGGAAACCCUGAUCCAGCCAUGCCGCGUGCGGGAAGAAGGCCUCGG